This 497-nucleotide ribosomal RNA is filed under the name uncultured bacterium. RNAcentral describes it as "partial 16S ribosomal RNA". It matches the Rfam family "Bacterial small subunit ribosomal RNA", at positions 28 to 507 of the family's 1533-position model. The record is from RNAcentral.
GACGAACGCUGGCGGCGUGCCUAAUACAUGCAAGUUGAGCGCUGAAGGUUGGUACUUGUACCAACUGGAUGAGCAGCGAACGGGUGAGUAACGCGUGGGGAAUCUGCCUUUGAGCGGGGGACAACAUUUGGAAACGAAUGCUAAUACCGCAUAAAGACUUUAAACACAAGUUUUAAGUUUGAAAGAUGCAAUUGCAUCACUCAAAGAUGAUCCCGCGUUGUAUUAGCUAGUUGGUGAGGUAAAGGCUCACCAAGGCGAUGAUACAUAGCCGACCUGAGAGGGUGAUCGGCCACAUUGGGACUGAGACACGGCCCAAACUCCUACGGGAGGCAGAAGUAGGGAAUCUUCGGCAAUGGACGAAGGUCUGACCGAGCAACGCCGCGUGAGUGAAGAAGGUUUUCGGAUCGUAAAAAUCUGUUGGUAGAGAAGAACGUUGGUGAGAGUGGAAAGCUCAUCAAGUGACGGUAACUACCCAGAAAGGGACGGCUAACUACGUG